ACCCUCUCACUUUUCCAUCUCAUUCUCUCUCUCUCUCUCACUUUUUUCACAUUUCAACAGAAGACUACAAGAGAAUUUUAAUAACCGACCGACUCCUGACGGUGCAAAUAUCGUUUCGAGCAUGUCUAUUUGCUUG
Non-coding RNA from Caenorhabditis elegans, 136 nucleotides. The record is from Ensembl. Lineage: Eukaryota; Metazoa; Nematoda; Chromadorea; Rhabditida; Rhabditidae.